GAUGAACGCUGGCGGCGUGCCUAAUACAUGCAAGUCGAGCGAACGGACGAGAAGCUUGCUUUUCUGAUGUUAGCGACGGACGGGUGAGUAACACGUGGAUAACCUACCUAUAAGACUGGGGUAACUUCGGGAAACCGGAGCUAAUACCGGAUGAUAUUUUGAACCGCAUGGUUCAAAAGUUUAAGACGUUCUUGCUGUCCCUUAUAGAUGGAUCCGCGCUGCAUUAGCUAGUUGGUAAGGUAACGGCUUACCAAGGCAACGAUGCAUAGCCGACCUGAGAGGGUGAUCGGCCACACUGGAACUGAGACACGGUCCAGACACCUACGGGAGGCAGCAGUAGGGAAUCUUCCGCAAUGGGCGAAAGCCUGACGGAGGAACGCCGCGUGAGUGAUGAAGGUCUUCGGAUCGUAAAACUCUGUUAUUAUGGAAGAACACAUGUGUAAGUAACUGUGCACAUCGUGACGGUACCUAAUCAGAAAGCCACGGCUAACUACGUG
Molecule: ribosomal RNA, 497 nt
Filed under: uncultured bacterium
Lineage: Bacteria
Description: partial 16S ribosomal RNA
Rfam family: Bacterial small subunit ribosomal RNA
Source: RNAcentral